CCAGAAGGCGGGGCGCAAGCCCGCUCAGCCCGCCGCGCUGGAUGAUGAAGGCCCUAGGGUCGUAAAGUCCUUUUCGGCGGGGAAGAUAAUGACGGUACCCGCAGAAGAAGCCCCGGCUAACUUCGUGCCAGCAGCCGCGGUAAUACGAAGGGGGCUAGCGUUGCUCGGAAUCACUGGGCGUAAAGCGCACGUAGGCGGACUCUUAAGUCGGUGGUGAAAUCCUGGAGCUCAACUCCAGAACUGCCUUCGAUACUGAGAGUCUCGAGUCCGGGAGAGGUGAGUGGAACUGCGAGUGUAGAGGUGAAAUUCGUAGAUAUUCGCAAGAGGGGGGGGGGGCGAAGGCGGCUCACUGGCCCGGUACUGACGCUGAGGUGCGAAA
RNAcentral lists this ribosomal RNA (379 nucleotides) under uncultured bacterium. RNAcentral's name for it is "partial 16S ribosomal RNA". It matches the Rfam family "Bacterial small subunit ribosomal RNA", at positions 359 to 758 of the family's 1533-position model. The record is from RNAcentral.